CUCCGGGUGGGGACAGAUGGUGAAGGUAAGGGCAGUGUGCGACCUGAUCAUCCGCACGGCCAGCAGGAUCAGCAGGAGCAGAGACCCCAGCGAGGCCCACCUUAAAACAAAGACCAAGGUACAGGCCUUUGAGAAAUACAAAAUGAAGACGCUCAUUUACAAGACAUGCUGAUCAAAAUAUUAACUAUAAAAUUCUUUUACAACUCCAUCAAAUAUGAGAAAGGAAUGCAUCUAAGAGGAAAGGAAAAUGACUAGUUGUUUCACAGAAGCAAAUGGAAGGAAAUGAAAUUUUGUGUUACCCACUAAACUAUGGAUGAUUGAAAUAAUCUAGCAAUACAAUGCUAACUUGACCUGAACUUGAACUUGGGAGGAGACAUCAAUUCAAAAGGCAGCUGGAACCCCAGAAUGUGCCCAUCUGUAACCUGUGAGAUGAUGGAUCAAAAUUUUUCUGGCCAUGAACAUGGAGCUAGAUUUCACCAUUGU
Marmota monax (woodchuck) is the source of this 483-nucleotide long non-coding RNA. RefSeq lists it as uncharacterized. The record is from RefSeq and is a predicted model, not a curated record. The transcript has 3 exons. NCBI's taxonomy places the organism in Eukaryota, Metazoa, Chordata, Mammalia, Rodentia, Sciuridae.